GUGACAAUGACGCUGGAAGAGAAAGUAACGAUGUCGGCGAACGGGAGCGAUGGACCUUCGUGUGUCAGAAGAUGCUUCCUCUCAUCUCUUCCUGCAACUGCCAGAGAAACAUUUCUUUUUUAAAAUUCCCCCUCUAACCCCUCGUGAAUGGUGAAGAAAGAAGGAAAAACCAUCUCCAGUUGUUGCUGUCUAUGAUGUCCAGGUUUUGUUCUCCCUCCCCAACUCACGUCCAUCACUCAUUGCGUUUUUUCUCCAUCUUGAUGAGGAAGCCUCUCCUCGAUCCUCUCU
This 288-nucleotide long non-coding RNA is filed under the name Gouania willdenowi (blunt-snouted clingfish). RNAcentral's name for it is "lncRNA (ENSGWIG00000018235.1)". Lineage: Eukaryota; Metazoa; Chordata; Actinopteri; Blenniiformes; Gobiesocidae. The record is from RNAcentral.